Molecule: ribosomal RNA, 465 nt
Filed under: uncultured bacterium
Lineage: Bacteria
Description: partial 16S ribosomal RNA
Rfam family: Bacterial small subunit ribosomal RNA
Source: RNAcentral
GACGAACGCUGGCGGCGUGCUUAACACAUGCAAGUCGAACGGAAAGGCCCUGCUUGCAGGGUACUCGAGUGGCGAACGGGUGAGUAACACGUGGGUGAUCUGCCCUGCACUUCGGGAUAAGCCUGGGAAACUGGGUCUAAUACCGGAUAGGAGCCAUUUUUAUUGUGAUGUUUGGAAAGUUUUUUCGGUGUAGGAUGAGCUCGCGGCCUAUCAGCUUGUUGGUGGGGUAAUGGCCUACCAAGGCGGCGACGGGUAGCCGGCCUGAGAGGGUGGACGGCCACAUUGGGACUGAGAGAAGGCCCAGACUCCUACGGGAGGCAGAGGUGGGGAAUAUUGCACAAUGGGCGCAAGCCUGAUGCAGCGACGCCGCGUGGGGGAUGACGGCCUUCGGGUUGUAAACUCCUUUCGCUAGGGACGAAGCUUUUUGUGACGGUACCUAGAUAAGAAGCACCGGCUAACUACGUG